This 657-nucleotide ribosomal RNA is filed under the name uncultured bacterium. RNAcentral's name for it is "bacterial SSU rRNA". It matches the Rfam family "Bacterial small subunit ribosomal RNA", at positions 232 to 885 of the family's 1533-position model. The record is from RNAcentral.
CGCGGCCUAUCAGCUUGUUGGUGGGGUGAUGGCCUACCAAGGCGACGACGGGUAGCCGGCCUGAGAGGGUGUCCGGCCACACUGGGACUGAGAUACGGCCCAGACUCCUACGGGAGGCAGCAGUGGGGAAUGUUGCACAAUGGGCGCAAGCCUGAUGCAGCGACGCCGCGUGGGGGAUGACGGCCUUCGGGUUGUAAAUCUCUUUCACCAUCGGCGAAGCCGGGAGCUUUUGUUUCUGGUGACGGUAGGUGGAGAAGAAGCACCGGCCAACUACGUGCCAGCAGCCGCGGUAAUACGUAGGGUGCGAGCGUUGUCCGGAAUUACUGGGCGUAAAGAGCUCGUAGGUGGUUUGUCGCGUUGUCCGUGAAAUUCCCUGGCUUAACUGGGGGCGUGCGGGCGAUACGGGCGGACUGGAGUACUGCAGGGGAGACUGGAAUUCCUGGUGUAGCGGUGGAAUGCGCAGAUAUCAGGAGGAACACCGGUGGCGAAGGCGGGUCUCUGGGCAGUAACUGACGCUGAGGAGCGAAAGCGUGGGGAGCGAACAGGAUUAGAUACCCUGGUAGUCCACGCCGUAAACGGUGGGUACCAGGUGUGGGUUUCCUUCCUUGGGAUCCGUGCCGUAGCUAACGCAUUAAGUACCCCGCCUGGGGAGUACGG